This 253-nucleotide ribosomal RNA is filed under the name uncultured bacterium. RNAcentral describes it as "partial 16S ribosomal RNA". It matches the Rfam family "Bacterial small subunit ribosomal RNA", at positions 524 to 776 of the family's 1533-position model. The record is from RNAcentral.
UACAGAGGUCCCAAGCGUUGUUCGGAUUCACUGGGCGUAAAGGGUGCGUAGGUGGUCGGGUAAGUCUGAUGUGAAAUCUCCGAGCUUAACUCGGAAAUGGCAUUGGAUACUAUCCGGCUUGAGGGUCGGAGGGGGGACUGGAAUUCUUGGUGUAGCAGUGAAAUGCGUAGAUAUCAAGAGGAACACCAGUGGCGAAGGCGAGUCCCUGGACGACUCCUGACACUGAGGCACGAAAGCUAGGGGAGCAAACAGG